AGAUGUAUUGCAAGAGUAUUUUUCUGGCUUUGAUAUAUCCUUUAACCCUUCUUCCCCUUUUUCUGCUCCCUUCUCUCAAAGGGGAAUUCAAAAUGAGGGGAAAUAAGCCUAUUAAUUAAUGACUUUUUUUUCUGGUUUUCAAUGCUGAUUAUAAAAUCAAAAGAUUCUUCAUGAAAGGUUGUAUGAUUAUAUGAUUUCUAUUUACAGAGGUAGCAACAAGCUGAAAAAGAAUGGGAGAGAGAGAGAGAGAAUUUCUAAACAAUAAAGUUGUUACGACCAGGUGAAUCAAAGAUGCUAAACUUUUCCUGCUUUUUAUUUCACUAAAAGUAUUUGUUCAUUGAUGCCCAGUUUUGGGCUGCCUGUCUUCAUUAUGUCUUUAGUCUCUAGAAAAAAAGUGCCAGCAUCUUAACAUUUUCUAGGAGCAAAAUAGUAAUCUAAUAGGAAUUAAUAAUGCUAUUUAAAUUAGGUUGCUUUCCAGGGAGCUUAAAACGUCCGGAAUUAUAUUACAUUUAAAAAAAAAUCUCAUGUCCUUAGUAAACUACCUACUCUUCCUUGCAGACUUAACCAUUCUGAAAGCAUUUUCUUGUAAUUUUCAUGUAACACUCAAAACAAUUUAGUGAGGUAAUUAUUAACUUCCUUCUUACAGGUUUGAAGCAACUAGGGUUCAGAGAAAGUAAGUGAUUUGUCUGAGAUUAGAAAGCAAAUUUAUGACAUAAUCAAAACCGUCAGUAGAUUUACUCACAACCAGUCUGAACUCUUUUCCAUGUCAUAAGCAAGGAAAGGGUAAAGAGAGGAAGAAGAUUUUAGUGGCAGAAAUUGUGCUACCAUAAUAACAAGCAAGAAAACAUUGUCAUAAGAUUAAAAGUUGCAGGCACCCUGUCAGUUUCAUGAAUAUAUUUCUGGACAUUUUUUUGAGUAUUGAUCAGACAGACAAAAACUUCACAGAUUUCUGGGAACCCAAUACACCCAAUCUUGUCUGGCCAUGCCUAAAGAGAAACUAUCGCAAAAACCGCAAUUACUUUUGCACCAACCUCAAAGAAUGGUGGCGUUCAUGACUAUGGCCGUGC
RNAcentral lists this long non-coding RNA (1067 nucleotides) under Pan troglodytes (chimpanzee). RNAcentral describes it as "long non-coding RNA NONPTRT000368". The record is from RNAcentral. Lineage: Eukaryota; Metazoa; Chordata; Mammalia; Primates; Hominidae.